GCGCAGGCAAGCACACGAAUCGCUAAAGGCCAGUCCCGCCGACCCCGGCCAAGCCCACCCGGCACCUAACAUUGCACAGGGAGCCAGGGGCCGCCAGCCAGCCGUAGGAGGAACCACCACGUAUGGGCUAUCAUCGAAACAUGUGGCGCAACCCAGGGUACAUUUCUAGUGGGGUCCGAUUAACAGGGUCGUGAAAGGGACCUACAAUGCGCGCUAAGCGCCGGAAAUACGGAGAUGAAUGCGAAAUGGCCCCUGCCACAAGAUGCUGACCAUCCGGCGGGGAAGACAGACAAGAACUGAUGCUGCUUAAAUCUUCCCUUUCAGUUCCUGGCAACAUUUUUUGACAGAACCGUGGAGCCCCACAGAUUCCACACUUUCACUCUCACCACACCAGAAGCACCAGCACCCAAGAUGAAGGCGGUUUUGUAUUUAAUGAACUGAAUGCUCACAAAGGAUCUUAUUCUGAAAGCCACAGAACAAGUGGGCAGAUAGGAGAAACUGUUGGGGGGAGGGGUGAAGAGGGGACCAAAGAUGCUCUCGAAGGCAACAGGAAUUCUAAAUCGGGCACUCAAGGGAAACGCUCCUGGACAGAGUGGCUAGGAAAAGCUUCCACGGGGAAGGAGGAAUCGAGGGUUGAGGACUUCAAACCCGGAACUUGCUUAGGCGAAGAAAACAUUCCCAUUCGGAAGACCCUCCAGUGCAGAGACAAGGAAUCUGAACAUGCAGAGGGUACUAUGAGAGAUCGGCUUGGCUCAAGCUGGGAACUGGCUUUCCAAAGUUGAGGGAGAAAAUGCUAGCGAUAAUGCCCCAGGAGCCAAAGGGUUAAUGAAUUUCCUAAAUGUGCCUGACUUACUUCCAGAAAGAAGCUUCCUCCACCAGGGAGAAUCUGGCUCAAGGUAAAAAACAGUCCAAGCGUCUGAGAAAACAUGUAACCGUACAUAAAUCCAAAGUCUGCCUCCGGCUUGCUCUCGGUACACCCUUUCCGUUCUUGGAUGCAGACAACACACUCGACCGACAUCCCAUGCAGCGCACUCCCUUGACCAGUAGCUUAUCAUGCACUCCUGUCACAUUCCAGCUCUAAGAUGGUCCCACAUAAUAAGUCCUCGGUUUGUGCAAAAAAUAGUGCGGAACACUCAGCAUUCAUUGUGCAACAGCGGUGUGAGAUCAGCAGGGCUGGCACCGAAAGUUCAAUACUCGUAUUUUUCUAACCCCAGUCUGAGACCUAUACUAUGACAGGCACAAGGCUAUUUCUGUAGACAACGAGACAGAACUGGGACUGCCACUUUGAAGAGCCACCUAUAAUUAUCGAUUCAUAUAAAUGGAGGAAGUUCAACAUGGGAGAAAUUUGGUCGAACAGCAGCACAUAUUAGAGACUUAGGGCUUUAGGUGACAGUCAAUCAAUGUGAUAUGGCUCAAAAAAUGCCACUGUAGAUUGCAGAAUGUAAUUAGAGAAGUACCCGGGAUGAACUAAUCCUCCUCUAUUUUGCUAGUUAGACUUCACAGAAAGUAUUUCAUUCUGUUUUACAAAGCAAUUUAAGAGACCCAUAAACAGGAGUGCGUUCAGAGAGGAUCACCUAAAAUGCAUUACAAAUUAUGUCACUGAAGGCAUAGCCGCUCUCGUAUUUUAAGCAUGGAUCUUCACCAGUUUAUCCCUAAUCCUUACAAUAACUCAGUGAGAUGACUAUUUUCGUCCACAUCUCGCAGAGAAAGAUACAGCGGCUCACAGCACUGAGUGUUAGUAUGUAAAGGACUGGGAACUGAACACAGAUGUGUCUGGCUCCAAAGCUGGCGUUCUUUCCACCACCCCACACUGCCUCCCUGUUUAAAAUAACUGGGCAUGUUCAGUUGGAAGAAAAGAAGCCUUGUGGAGUGAGUGGAAGAAGGAAAUGUGUUAGCAGUCCUCAAAUAUUUGUGGAAGCAGCAUUAGACAUUUUAUUCUGUAUGGCUCCAACGAGUGCAAAUUGUAGAGAAACAGAUGUCGAUUCAACAUAAAGAAUUUUCCAACAGUCAGGUCUGUCUAGGGAGACUGAGUGGCUCAGCCAUUUGGGGACGUGACAGGUCCCUCAUCACUAGGGGCCGGGUAAUCCUGUGGCAGGUAUGCAAGCUCUGGAAGAAUGCACGAAUGACCUUUAAGGUUUUCUCCCACCUAACAGGAAACUAAGGAUCAGAGAGGUAUUGGAACCUGGCCAGGGUGACCCUUCUCCGGAAGGGUCAAAUCCACGACUAGGUCUUCCCUAGCUGUCCCUCAGGCCACCACUCUUUGUACAACGUGAUGUUUCAAGCAGAGGGCAAGACAAAUUGAAGAAAUUCUCAACACAGUUACAUCAACCGCCCUCUCAGCCAAACUUAAUCAAUACAUCCCCAGAGUGACUGGUUUUUUUCCCUCUUCGGGCUCAUGUCUGGGUAAAAGUCUUUGGCUGCAGAAAGUUCAAAAGAUGUGGUGGAGAAGCAUCAAGGUGAAUAAUCCGUUAGCCAGAUAAAACGAACCUAAGUGACAGACAGCUGUUUCUAUAGAUUACCAUGUCACUGGGCACCCCUAAAGUAUCUUUACACACCUCUGUAUCACUCCCAUAAUCCCACACCUGGCGCUGUUCCACUCGUCCGUAUCUACAGUCCAUCUUCCACACUCACACGGAUACGUAGGUUGCAGGAUUCCAAAUAAAAUGGUCUCUUGCAUUUUUACA
Long non-coding RNA from Leopardus geoffroyi (Geoffroy's cat), 2684 nucleotides. RefSeq lists it as uncharacterized. The record is from RefSeq and is a predicted model, not a curated record. The transcript has 2 exons. Lineage: Eukaryota; Metazoa; Chordata; Mammalia; Carnivora; Felidae.